This 253-nucleotide ribosomal RNA is filed under the name uncultured bacterium. RNAcentral describes it as "partial 16S ribosomal RNA". It matches the Rfam family "Bacterial small subunit ribosomal RNA", at positions 524 to 776 of the family's 1533-position model. The record is from RNAcentral.
UACGGAGGGUGCAAGCGUUGCUCGGAAUUAUUGGGCGUAAAGGGUAGGUAGGUGGUCUCAUUUGUCUGGGGUGAAAGCCUUGAGCUUAACUCAAGAAGUGCCCCAGAAACGGUGAGACUGGAGUCCUGGAGAGGGUCGUGGAAUUCCCGGUGUAGCGGUGAAAUGCGUAGAGAUCGGGAGGAACAUCAGUGGCGAAGGCGGCUCACUGGCCCGAUACUGACGCUGAGGUGCGAAAGCGUGGGGAGCAAACAGG